GGAAGCCCUGAUUGCCCAAAGCUUCUUAACACAUUCUUUAUUAGCUUUCCUCUCUUCCCUGUUUCAUAUUCCCUGUGCUCCCCUGGGAUCAACAGCCAAAUGAACAACUUCACCUGAGCCCUUACCUCCAAGGAAGUGCCACAGGGGAACCCAAAGGCCCUUAAUCAUUAAAAAAAACUUUAGAGAUGCUGGCUGAGCCAUCAGUGAGAACAUGGAUGCAUACACAGAACCUACAUCUUGUCAUCUCUGCUCUUCGAGGAAUGGAGCUGGAGAGGCAGAGAAGCAAUGAAGCCGAAUUCUUAUAAGGUGUGAUCUGGAAAGAGAAUUGAGAGAUUCAGGAAGAAUCAAAUUGCUUUCUGAAAUCAAGUAACAGAAAGUCUCUCUGGUACUUUGAUGAGUGAAGAAAACAGGGGUACUCAAAACCUGGAGUGAACUGUGAAGAUAAAACAACAGCCCUGGGAUGCUUAGGAGCCAGAAGACAGUAAGAGACCAACUAUGCCUUGGAUGGACCCUACAUGUGGGGUUACAUUCCUUUGUGCUAAGAGGAAGGUGAUUCUGAGAGCUUGAUGGCAUCUAAUUCCUUCAAGAGUUGGCUGAGACAUGUAUUCAAGGGCACAGAGUUGGAUUAUAUUUGG
RNAcentral lists this long non-coding RNA (635 nucleotides) under Homo sapiens (human). Its description in RNAcentral is "HSALNT0088109". Lineage: Eukaryota; Metazoa; Chordata; Mammalia; Primates; Hominidae. The record is from RNAcentral.